GCAGUCGUGGCCUGGUGGUUAAGCCGAUGAACUAGAAAUCCAUUGGGGUCUCCCCGCACACGCGCAGGUUCGAAUCCUGUCGACUGCG
RNAcentral lists this transfer RNA (88 nucleotides) under Ixodes scapularis (black-legged tick). It matches the Rfam family "tRNA". Rfam says of the family: Transfer RNA (tRNA) molecules are approximately 80 nucleotides in length. Lineage: Eukaryota; Metazoa; Arthropoda; Arachnida; Ixodida; Ixodidae. The record is from Rfam by way of RNAcentral.